GAUGAACGCUGGCGGCGUGCCUAAUACAUGCAAGUCGAGCGAACAGACGAGGAGCUUGCUCCUCUGACGUUAGCGGCGGACGGGUGAGUAACACGUGGAUAACCUACCUAUAAGACUGGGAUAACUUCGGGAAACCGGAGCUAAUACCGGAUAAUAUAUUGAACCGCAUGGUUCAAUAGUGAAAGACGGUUUUGCUGUCACUUAUAGAUGGAUCCGCGCCGCAUUAGCUAGUUGGUAAGGUAACGGCUUACCAAGGCGACGAUGCGUAGCCGACCUGAGAGGGUGAACGGCCACACUGGAACUGAGACACGGUCCAGACUCCUACGGGAGGCAGCAGUAGGGAAUCUUCCGAAAUGGGCGAAAGCCUGACGGAGCAACGCCGCGUGAGUGCUGAAGGUCUUCGGAUCGUAAAACUCUGUUAUUAGGGAAGAACAAAUGUGUAAGUAACUAUGCACGUCUUGACGGUACCUAAUCAGAAAGCCACGGCUAACUACGUG
RNAcentral lists this ribosomal RNA (497 nucleotides) under uncultured bacterium. RNAcentral's name for it is "partial 16S ribosomal RNA". It matches the Rfam family "Bacterial small subunit ribosomal RNA", at positions 28 to 507 of the family's 1533-position model. The record is from RNAcentral.